This 787-nucleotide long non-coding RNA is filed under the name Homo sapiens (human). Its description in RNAcentral is "non-protein coding lnc-MAGEB2-1:1". Lineage: Eukaryota; Metazoa; Chordata; Mammalia; Primates; Hominidae. The record is from RNAcentral.
CCAUUGGCAUACUUCCUACCAACAUGCCUGCCUAACAUACCACCAAGAAAUAGCAUGCCUCCAUGCCAGAAGCAUCAGCACUGUACAUGUGAGCAAUGCCUCCAGGCCUACAAGGAGAUCCAAAGCCAAAAGUGUCCAACUUCAUCAAGGGUAUCAGAUGAGUACUCAGAGGUCAAGAAGAGGAGGAAAGUCAGAGAAUCUUGCAGCCUUUGCCAGACACUGAGAAUUUGCCCAGGCACCCUCUAUACUAGAAAGCGGUUUUUAUGAUGAAUUCCCUGUUGCUCAGUUAUCAAAUGAAAAAGCCCAUCACAAAAGCAGACAUACUGAAAAAUGCCAUAAAAGAGCACAAGGAGCACUUCCUGAGGUCCUGAGGAGAGCCGGAGAGCCUCUGAGUGUAUGCAGCCUGUCUUUGGGGUUGAAGUAAAAGAAGUAGACCACUCUUAUGCCCUUGUCAGAAAACUGGACCUCACCUAUGAUGAGAGGUUGAGAUAUGAAAAGGGCAUGUCCAAGACCAGCCUCCUGAUGACUGUCCUAGGCCUGAUAUUUACAAAAGGCAAUUGAACCAAUGAGGAGAUAAUCUUGGAAGAGCUGAAAAUAAAGGGUAUAUAUUACGGGAAGAAGUACUUCAUCUCUGGGGAUCCCAGGAAGGUCAUCACCAGAGAUCUGACGCAUGAAAGGUAGCUGGACUGCCAGCAGAUGCCCCAUAGUGAUUCUUCCCACUAUGAAUUCCUAUGGGGUCUGAGAGCCCACCCUGAAACCAGAAAAAUGAAAGUCAUAGAAAUUUUGA